GUGUUGGGAGCAAUGCUACAUAAUUCUAGGGAUAAAUCAUUUGGUUAGCCUAGUUCUCUUGCCUACAGCCCAGCUACAGAAUAACUCCAGUUUGGCCUCCGGUCACAACUGAGACUUCAGUGAUCCAGUGAUGCUGUGAUUCUCCAGGACAAGAAACAUCCUGGGAGAACAAACAUCUGCUCAGUUCCUCAUUGUUCUUGGACUGAUUAACAUCUCGUUUACCGGAGAUGUACUGAACUCUCUGCAAGCCUUCCGUUACACCUUGUUUAUCCCAAUGUGAACUAUUGAACUCUCUGCAAGUCAUUUGUUACAUUUGUUUCUCCGGAUGUACUGAAUAAAAGGUGUGGUAAGCUGGGGGCUUUGUCUUUGCUGCCCAGAGCAGCACUCAUCAGAACCAAAGCUCAGCUUCUUCUCAGUCUCAUUUUUCUACCUUUCCUGUAAUUCGCUGUGUGCUGCCGUGGCUUGCAGGAGACCAGGACUAACUGCAGAGGUUCUGGUAAUGUCCCCUUCCCCUGUCCCCUACAUUUGGUGCCCAACGUGGAUGUGAAUCGGAUCCAGGGGUGAACUCACCUGUGAGACAAACUUGGAGUAAGAGAGACAGCACACGGAUCUCCCAGGACGAUUUCCGGACUAGGACGAGGGACACCAGUGAUCCAACAGCUAUCAAUCAAACAGCUAGCAUCUCACUGACAUUUUGUUGAUCUCGGGCAAUGACAGCUGCCACUGUCUUGGACACCUUCACUUGUUUGGACCAAUCACAGUUUUUCAUCUUGUUUGCUGAAGGCAGAGGUAUUCUCAUAAUCUGAAGAUCUUCUUUAAAGAAACCUGCAUAAAUCUCUCCUAUGGUACAAUAAGGAUGGAAGAAAUGACACUUCCUCCAAUGAACUGCUUGUACCGUUGAUCCCAUUGUGAUACCUGCUUAGAACAAGCAACCACCACAAUUGUGUAUAUCUUCAACAAAAUGCUGAAAAGAAACACUUUCUUGUCUUUCAAUUGAAUAUUUUUAUUUCAUAUAAUGCUAGUAGAGAACAAAUAAACCUAUACUAUUGAUUUAUUUAUCAUGAAAUAUUUCAUUAUAUACAUUGUGAUGUGUUAUGUGUUUUUUUCUUUAAUUAGAAAACUAAUAUUAUUACUUCUUAAGUUUAGAAAUACUACCUUAGAAAUUUAUGCUUCAAGAUUCUGGAUUUAUGUACAAAAUACCCUAAAAAGGAACUAUAUUCCUGAGAUGUUCACAAACAAUGCAUUAAAUAAAUCAGAAUGAAUAUUUGAGUUUAUUCUUCGAGGGGGCAAAAUAAAAUAAAUAUUUCAAUCUUACAUGACUUGGAAAUAAAUGACUAAAGAAGUGUGGCUUUCUGGGAGGAGUGUAUAGGUACAUUUACCCUUCCAUUCAUCAGAUAUGAUUUCUUUUUUUUUAAAUUAGUUUUAUUGGUACAUUUUAGGUAUAUAAUAUAAUGACAUUCAUCAUUGGAAAUUUGCACCUCUACAUAAUCUCUUGAUUCUUACUUUUUCCCCAUUCCCCUGCCCUUCUUUCAACCCCUCCACCCCUCCCUAUUUACAAAGACUUUCCAUUUUUUCAUUUUCUCAUAUUAAUUUCAUUCCCUUCUUUCCUUUUCCCUGCCCCUCCCACUUCCCAUUCCCCUUUGCACCUUUUCUUCCUAUUUCACAUUAUCUAUUAUACCUUUUAGUCUUUAUUUAUGCCUUCAGUUUCUCACACUAGAAAAACUAUUCAGUAUUUACACGUGUGUGUCCUAUUCAUUUCACUUAGGACUACCACCUCAAUGUGCAUCCAUUUAGCAAUAAAUGUCUCUAAUUUCCAUUUUUUAUGGCUGAGUAGUACUCCAUUUAUAAAAAACCCCACAUUUUUUAUGUGCAUCCAUCUUCAUAGCAGCACAAUUUGUAAUAGCUAAAACUUGGAAGCAGCCCAAUUACCAAUCAACUGGAGACUGGAUAAAGAAGAUCAGAUAUGAUUUCUGUUAGCUCACUCAAUGCAUCCUAGACACUACACCCUAGACUUAAUGGAUGAGUCUCUCUUUACUUUACUACCAAUUCCUAAUUUUUCAUUGAAUUAUUAAUGGGUCUAGUGGUUGUGAACCUUUUUUAUUGGUUUUGUUUGUCUUUGGUUUACGAGGUUGGAGUGGAGCAGGAGGAGCAAUGAAUAGUAGAAUAUAUAAGGGCAAUAUUGUGUUGAAGUGAUUCAUAAGCCCUCUUUCAUCAAAUGCUAUUGGAAUUGAAUAAUGAAGGCUUGUGAGCUAGAAAAAUGUAAAAUGAAAAUUUUAUUUUCAUAGUGUAUGAAAACAAGGUUGUACAAAAUAUUCUUAUAAUGAAAAAUUUAAGGAUGUGAUAAAUGCCCGACAUAAAGUGGAAAAGACUAUUAUAAUUUCAAAGUACUCUGAUCAUCUAUGUUAAAGAAGCUUUCUUGGAAAGACAUGAGCAUCUUGUUGGAGUAGUAUCAUAACAAGGUAAUACCCUCAGUACAUGAGGUAAAAGGACCCAAGUUACCCAAGUUAUUUAGAUGAAUGCAUCAAGAGUUAUCAUGGUUGGAGUGUCUCUGAGGAGUAAGGAAGAACAAUUGUCUACUCUGAUGUUUUCUUUUUCUCAUUGUGUAAGAAUAAAGAAGAAGCUGGAAAGAUUGCUGGUGAAUCAAUAUAUUCGUGGAGAAAUGAGUCUAGUUAAAACAAGAAACUUAAGAAAAUGUUCACAAAUGACGCCUUGGAGAACUUUGCUCAUAAAUGACUGUGAGUCCAGGGAGGAUACUGGAAGGCAGACUACUGUGACAAAGUAUGUUAGGCAAUAAGGGUGACCUGAAAAUCUUACAGUUAUGAUUUGACAAACAGAAUUAAAUAGCAGAGCUGAGAUGAGGCCCACUAAUCUCUAGGUAGAUAGUGAAGCUGAGACUACACUUAGUGUUGUUGGAAGAACGUUGAAAUGGUGAGAUCUCUCCAGACAGUAUGAUUCUCAGACUUUCUUAUGUCCUACUCAUGACACUGUGGAAGUUGCAGAGAGGAACUUCAUCCAGAGAGCAUAAGGACUUCCGUGACUGCCUCUUCAAUUCUGCUAUCGGAGGCAGUCUAGGGGAGGUGUGGUCUUAUCCACGUAUCUGUUCCUCCUUCACUCACUGAAACACAUUUAUAAAACUGGGCCUGGGAUUUAGCUCAGUGGUUCUGCUGCCUGCCUCGCAAGGACAAGGUCCCAAGCUCGAUCCCUGGUACCAAAAACAAAACAAAACAAAACAAAAAAACUACCCUAACAAUUUCAAGAAAACAACCUUAUGUUAAUUUUCAACACAGUCCAAUCUUUCAUGGUACUGGCAGCAAAAUAUUUGUUUUAGCUAAGGAAAAAUUAAUAAGUCUUUCUGGCAGCAGGAGUAUAUUAUUUAGGGUACUCUAGGGAAACAGAGUCAAUUGAAUAUAUAUGUGUGAUUAUGCACUGGAAUUCAUUAACUAGGCUUACAGGAUCAGAAAUGAGAGAGCCCACAAUGGCAUUUGUGGGACCAGACGCAAGAGAGUCCGCAAUAGUCACUUGAACAUUACAGACCCAGAAGAUACAGGAGAUGCUUGGCCAAGAAGGUGGAGGCCACAGGACAGGAGGAUGCAAGGAUACAGCACUUGUCCAAGUUUGAAGGCCUAGAAGCUCCCUGGAUAGUUACCAAUAUGAGUCUGUGUUAGAAAGCUAAAGAAACUGCAGAUCUGGAUACUGAUGUCCAGUGGCAACAGCAGCAGAGUAUACACACAAUUAGGAAGACGGAAGUUCUUCAAACUGUGGACAGUUCCUUGUUUUCUCCUCUUUUUAUUCCAUCCUGGCUACAACCCCAUUUGUUAGUGCCACCUACAUCAGGAAUGAGUCUUCCUCCCUGGGUUGACUGGUUUAUAUAUCAGUCACCCAUUCACAGUUCUGUUAGAUAAUGUGUAGGAUUUCUGACCCCAGAGAAUGCAAGAUGUACUUAGGUAUAAUAAAAUGGAGCAGUUGACCGUUCCAAGGAAUAAUACGUGUAAUUCUAUUGUUUCAAAAACACAUCAUCUAUUGAAGAAUGAGUGAGAGAAGCUCACUACGAUGAUUAUAAUAAAAAUAUAAUGGUACUUCUUUUUAAAAGGACAGUAUAAGGUAAUUUACCAUGUAUACAUCACCUGUGACCCCAACGUUUUAAAUUUUAUGCUCUGUUCAAUGGCAGUAGCAGGGAGUCUGGAGGGAGAAUUCUCUCACAGAUUUACAAACUACCAAAAUGUUUAAACUUAACUAAAUAAAAGACUAUUUGCUAGCCUAGAGUUGUUUUAAGACAAAUUCUUUAGUACCACCUCAACUCUUCAGCAGAGUGUAAUAUUUAAAUGUAAUUUUAUGAGGUCUGGUGUGCCCACAAUAUGUGAAAACAAUGAUUAGUUUUUAUAGAGUUCCUGCAACAUUGCAUUUAAUGAAAGCAAUGAUGGUGAGCUCCUAUUUACCUUUGUACAAGGUUUCUUAAUUUAGCACUGUACCUGAAUAUGUGUGGUAGAGUGCAAGUUUUGCUUCUAUAGUGUCUUAAAAUAUAUUUUAAAUAUGGCCCACCUAAAUGGGCCAUUUUAAAUAUGGGCCAUUUUAAAUAUGGCCCAAGUAAAUGAAAAUAGAAAAAACAAGUGAUCACCUUCAGUACCAUCAGAAAAAAAGUCAAAUGUUACUUAAACAAACAGUGAGAAAUGUGAAAUAGAUAAAUUCUGCUGUAAUACACAGUUUCUUAUGAUGGCUUUUUAGAUCCAAUAUCUCUUGGAGAUCUAAAGUCAGUUUUCAGUUGCAGUUUAAAAGACUGUAAAAAUAGAGGAUUUAUGAUUAUAUCAUAAAGGAUAUCCUAGAGUAUUUAAUAUGAAAUAUUUAAUAUGAAAAUUCUCCAGCUCUCAGGAGCAGCAAUUUUCAGCUCUAUGUUCCAAGUGGAACAUGUUGUCAUCUCCUGAAGCAUUGUUUAUUAUGGUGCUGAGUGUUGGUGUCCUUGGAAUCAGUGUGGAAGUGUGAAAAGAAGUAAAUCUGUUAUCAAGGACAGCUGGAUUUCUUGGGUCAAGGUUUAAAGAUCAGAGCUUUCUACUCUUUUUAAAUAUUUCAUGACUGAUUUCUAGUUUUAGGCAUUCAAAAUAACUCCAAAUGAUGUCAUCAUUUUCUCAGUAGAUUGAGGCUAUCACUAGAAGUUACUGCAACAGAAACAGUCCCUCAUGAUUGGCAAGUUGGUAAGAAUUAGAGGAGACUAUUCAUGCCAGCAAACACAGGACAAUCAUAAGUUUUUGAAAUUAGACAGAUGAAGUUUGUAAUCUGUUGUUGCAAUAUACCACUUGUGUAAGUGAAUUUUAACCCUACCUAUGACAAUUGGGAGAUGAUACCUGUGAAAUAAGUGGCAUGAAUUUUGUAAUGAAAUAAUUUGUUGAUUGUGCAAUUGUGUGAUACGGUUUACAUGUAGAUGGCCCCCUAAAGUCUCACGAGAUCAUAGGUGGGACCUUUGUUUUCCAGGGUUUUUUUUUGUUUUUUCUUGGUUGGGGGUACUGGGGAUCGAACUCAGGUCCUUGUGCUUGCACAGCAGUUGGAGAAACCACUGAGCUAAAUCCCCGGCCCCAUAGGCGGGACAUUUGGAAAGUGAUUGAAUUACAGUUGAGUUGCUGCUUGUAGGUAGAACCUGGUUGGGAGAGGUGGGUCACCAUAAGCAUGACAAAGAAUGUUAUAUCUCCCUUCCAAGCUCUUCAUUUUGUUUUCUGCUUCAUGUCUGCCAUGAGGUAAGUAGCUCUCCUCUGCCAUGUGCCUGUGUCAUGUCAUUCUGUCUUGGAACCAGCCACUAUGAACUGAAGCACAAGCCAAAAUAAACCUUUGCUCCUAUAAGUUUUGGGUAUUAAGUAUUGUAUCUCAGCCAUAAAGAGGGAAGUAACUAAGAUUUUGAUACCAAAGAAGUAGGAUCAUUGCUGUGACACUACUUGUCCUGUGGUUCAGAAACAUUUGGAGGUUGUUUGAGGGAGGAGUUUGGAAAUAUUUGAAGAUACCAUCUGGAGAACCAGACUGAAAAUGCUGCAAACUGAUCAUGAUAGGAGAUUCUGGUCAGAUUUCAGAAGAUCAUAAUGCUGAUAGAAGUCGGUAUAGUAAAGAUGAGGUUCAGGAGGUUUCAGUUGGGAACAAGGACUAUAUUGGCAGUAGUACUCCAGACCAUGUGUGUUACACUUUGGCAGAAAAUUUGUCUACAUUUUACUCAGAGUAAGGGCAGUAGAGUAAUCUGGUGGAGAAAAUUUCAAAGCAGCCUAAUAUUAGGGCUGUGAUAUGUAUACUAUUAGGUGACUUUAGCCAGUCCUAGUUGGAAAACCAGGAGCAAAAAGCCCACUUUUAAAGUUUUCAGUUUUUCCAGAAAAAAAACACCUACAAAGUUGUAGCAGAGGAAAGCAUUGUUGCUGAAAUAAUUAGCAGUGAAUAGAAGCCAAGUAUUUUGAAUCAUGAUAGGAAAAAUACUUUGAGGGCACGUGAAGAAUCAGCAAGGGCCCAACCUUCCCAAUUACAAAAUUGCAAAAGUUAAAAACUUUGCUUUAAAAAGGGGGUCCAAGGUUGCAUGCUUCAGAAGGGCAGCUGGGUAGGGAAUUUGUUCCUCAGGAUUUGACUCAUAGUGUUCAGCCAUCCAGGUAUUCACAGGUCCCUGCUACCAUGAUAUAAGGGAUCCUGGCUACUGCUCAAGCUGAUGCAGACCUUGGCAUAAUCCACACGAUUCUGGUUAUACAGGAAUGCAGAGUGCAAAUCUUCUGCGUUUGAGGAGGCAUUGAGCCAGAUUUCAGAAGGCCUAGAAGGCCAGGCAGUGUGCCCCUGAGAAGGCAGUGCUUGAAGCUGGUGAGAGUGAAACUGAGUGUGCAAUAAAGACCCCAGAGAGUUGGAGGAACCAGAAACAUGGAACAUCUGAGGAAAGCCACUGCAUGAAGCAAAGACACCCCAAGAGAAAAGCUAUUAGAGCUUUAACCACCAAGGAUACUGCAGGGGUAGGGCCGUCCAAGCUAUUUGAAGUUCACAUCUCAGCAUAGUUUUCUCUGGGUUCUAGAUAUGGAGCUACAGGAUUUAAUGUUCUCCCUGUUGAUUUUCAGUCUUGCUUUGGUUCCGUUGAUUUCUAUUCCCACAUUUCUCCUUUUUGGAAUGAGAAUGUGUACCUUAUGCAUUGUAUGCCAGCAGUGUUUAACUUCUUUUGGGUAUUUACUGUGGCUUACAGCUAAGAGUUUCCCUUCAGUCUCAGAGGAUACCUUGGACUUGGCCUUUUCAGCAAUGCUGGGAUGGUUAGGAAUUUGGCAACUGUUAGAAACAGACUAAAGGAAAUUUGCAUAAAUAUAUAUGCAUGAAUCUUUGGGGAUUAGGGAUGGAAUUUUAUGAUUUAUGUCUAGAAGUCCCAUAAUAUUGUAGGUGGACUUUAAGGAAGGUGAUUAGACUAUAGGGGUAUUAUAGGUGAAGUGUAUUAGGAGGUGGGGCUUGGUUAGAAAAGACAAAUCACUGUAGAUAUGACCUGGAAGGCGAUAUCUCCCUUCCAAGCUCUUCUCACAGUUCUGUGCUUCCUAGAUGCCAUGAGAUAAGCAGCUUGGCUCCUCCUAGCCCCUUCAACUAUGCUGUUAUGACAUCAAGACAGCUGAGUAUGUACUGCAACCUUUACAAAUGGUGAGCCAAAGUAAACCUUUGGUCAUUUACUUUGUGGGUGUGAGGUAUUGUCUCUAAGCCAUAAGAAAAGUGACUACGGCAUGUACCACCCUUAAAACAGGCAGGCAUACAGUAAAGGGGAAAAAAAACCCUCACUUAUUCAGUGAAAGAAGAAUCUGUGGGAAAAAAACAAGAGUGAAUAUAUUUUAUGAUACUAAUUAAUGUUGGUUAUGAAAUAAUGAUCAAUAUCAUUAACAUAAAAACAUUAAAUCUAAAGAAUGUUCAUAGUAUACAUAAUUAAAACAGUGUCACUGGGUUUGGCAAUCUAUAAGUCAUUGAUAAAUUUGGAAUGACCAUAUUACUAUAUGAAUGAAAUACAGACAUUUGGAUGUGUAAAUUAAAAUAGAAUUUAAAUUUUACUUUAAGAGGGAUGAUCAGUGGAGUUAUGCAGAAAUGUUUCUUGUUCUUUUGAUGAGACCUAAGUAUACGUACAGACAGAUUACAAGGAGCAAAUUGAUGAAUUAAAAAUACUGAUGAAAUCAGACAUCAUAAUUACAGUAAAGGCCCAUAGAAUGUGAUAGAAGAGUAGCAGUGGAGGAGCAUGGAAGGCACUUGCACUUGAAUAGAUCAAAGAAAUACAAUGUUGUUGAGAUGUAGAAUAGGUCAUUCAUACAAAAGAGAGCAAAUGAUUGUGAUAGUGGCAGGAUCAUGAAACAAGAAUUUACUAGCCAUGUACUAAUCAUUUCCCUGAUGAAAGGAAAGCAGAUUUUAUUUAUCUGUGAGACUGAUAAAUAAAAAAAAUAUAUCAGAUGGGAAACAAGGAUCUUGUUCUGAGUAGGGACAUGCAAUGGUCUAAAGGCAGUAUCUUUAUGUGACUUUAGAUGUAAGAGGAUGAACAAGUUGCACUGCAGAUCUGCCAUGGUGAGUUAACUUUAAAAAGAGACAGAAUAAGGUCAUGAUGUGAGAUUGGAGGUAGGCAAAGACCUGGUGAAUAUACAUAACGAUUAAAAGGGGUUUAUUAGUAACAAAUCAUACUUUCCACAAGGAAACGGGGACUGAUGCGAAGGUGGGGAUAGUAGACAGUGAAUUAGAAACAUAAAAAUAUGAGGAGAGAGAGAGAGAGGCAGAGAGAAUGAAAGAACAGAAAUUCCCAUUUGGGCUAUAUUUGGAUAUUGACCAAAGUUAUACAAAGUUAUAAAGGAUGCAAUAAUUUUCCACUGAAUAAAACCAAAAAUAUGCUUCAUCAAAAGCACAGGCUGAGACUUCAGGAAAAAAGCCCUUACAGAGGAUACAUGGUACUCUGUAUCUUCUAUGAAGUAAUUUAUAUUAAACCUUAUAAAUGUUACCACCUGAGACUCAUAAUUUGGAUGAUGUCUCUAAGUAAGAUAAAUUAAUUAAAUAAGUA
RNAcentral lists this long non-coding RNA (9001 nucleotides) under Heterocephalus glaber (naked mole-rat). RNAcentral describes it as "lncRNA (ENSHGLG00100048553.1)". The record is from RNAcentral. Lineage: Eukaryota; Metazoa; Chordata; Mammalia; Rodentia; Bathyergidae.